This 74-nucleotide transfer RNA is filed under the name Tongtianella jiaweipingae. RNAcentral's name for it is "Actinomyces sp. zg-332 tRNA-Pro". It matches the Rfam family "tRNA". From Rfam's summary of the family: Transfer RNA (tRNA) molecules are approximately 80 nucleotides in length. Their secondary structure includes four short double-helical elements and three loops (D, anti-codon, and T loops). Lineage: Bacteria; Bacillati; Actinomycetota; Actinomycetes; Actinomycetales; Actinomycetaceae. The record is from RNAcentral.
CGGGAUAUGGCGCAGUUUGGUAGCGCGCUUCGUUCGGGACGAAGAGGACGUGGGUUCAAAUCCCGCUAUCCCGA